GACGAACGCUGGCGGCGUGCUUAACACAUGCAAGUCGAACGGAAAGGCCCUGCUUUUGUGGGGUGCUCGAGUGGCGAACGGGUGAGUAACACGUGAGUAACCUGCCCUUGACUUUGGGAUAACUUCAGGAAACUGGGGCUAAUACCGGAUAGGAGCUCCUGCUGCAUGGUGGGGGUUGGAAAGUUUCGGCGGUUGGGGAUGGACUCGCGGCUUUUCAGCUUGUUGGUGGGGUAGUGGCUUACCAAGGCUUUGACGGGUAGCCGGCCUGAGAGGGUGACCGGCCACAUUGGGACUGGGAUGCGGCCCAGACUCCUACGGGAGGCAGCAGUGGGGAAUAUUGCACAAUGGGCGGAAGCCUGAUGCAGCAACGCCGCGUGCGGGAUGACGGCCUUCGGGUUGUAAACCGCUUUCGCCUGUGACGAAGCGUGAGUGACGGUAAUGGGUAAAGAAGCACCGGCUAACUACGUG
This 468-nucleotide ribosomal RNA is filed under the name uncultured bacterium. RNAcentral's name for it is "partial 16S ribosomal RNA". It matches the Rfam family "Bacterial small subunit ribosomal RNA", at positions 28 to 507 of the family's 1533-position model. The record is from RNAcentral.